Molecule: ribosomal RNA, 253 nt
Filed under: uncultured bacterium
Lineage: Bacteria
Description: partial 16S ribosomal RNA
Rfam family: Bacterial small subunit ribosomal RNA
Source: RNAcentral
UACGUAGGUGGCAAGCGUUAUCCGGAUUUACUGGGCGUAAAGGGAACGCAGGCGGUCUUUUAAGUCUGAUGUGAAAGCCUUCGGCUUAACCGGAGUAGUGCAUUGGAAACUGGGAGACUUGAGUGCAGAAGAGGAGAGUGGAACUCCAUGUGUAGCGGUGAAAUGCGUAGAUAUAUGGAAGAACACCAGUGGCGAAAGCGGCUCUCUGGUCUGCAACUGACGCUGAGGUUCGAAAGCGUGGGUAGCAAACAGG